AUGUUAAUACCUCAGAUUCACUACCUGGACAGCUUGGAAAUUGGCAAAGAUUGCCCCCCCCCCCACAACAUUCUUCCAAGGUUUGCUGCAUACAACGAUAGCGUGGUCGACAAACUCAUCAAACGUGACAUAGUUCUGCAUAAUCGACUGCCUUUUCCGACGUACGGAAAAUUAAAGAUACGAAAUCCCCACAGCAUCCGCUACGAGUAUGGAGCAAUUGCACAACAGUCAGCGAACACUCCUACUACUCAUAGAACGUUUAAUUCUCUAGUUAACUUGGAGACCCCAACCUUCAACAUUGGAUUGAGCCAAUUUGAGCACGACAACAGCAUCUCAGUACGCAACCAAAUCCCCCGAGUGUCUGCAAACUUAUCGACGGAAUUCAACAUGGUAGCUGAUACAGACGUAGUGCCAGAUACACCAGAUCGGCAGCAACAAGCUGCACAAACAGAUUUUCCUGUCCAAACUCCUACAUCCAUAUCACCUCAUUCUUUAUUACAAGAAAUGAGUGCGGCAAGAAUAUCGAUACAUGAGGAAUGUGGUCUCCCAAAAGUUCAACCCAAAACAAGGAGGAGAAUCAUUGGAGAACCAUCUGAUAUGCUUGUAAACAUACCAAAGCGAAUAAUUAGACCCAGUAGAAUGGUUCAGUCCCCAUUUCUGUGCAAACAAUACAUAAGUGUGAGGGUCGAUGUCAAGGCAUUAGAAGAUUUAUACACAUAUACUAUAUCCAUUACUAAUGAAGAACAACUGAGAAAAAUCUGGGUACACAUGUCUGAACCUGUGCCCAGGUUUUUGAAACUGAAAUAG
This 807-nucleotide ribosomal RNA is filed under the name Triticum aestivum (bread wheat). Its description in RNAcentral is "partial small subunit ribosomal RNA". Lineage: Eukaryota; Viridiplantae; Streptophyta; Magnoliopsida; Poales; Poaceae. The record is from RNAcentral.